AGGGUUUGAUCAUGGCUCAGAUUGAACGCUGGCGGAAUGCUUUACACAUGCAAGUCGAACGGCAGCACGGGUGCUUGCACCUGGUGGCGAGUGGCGAACGGGUGAGUAACAUAUCGGAACGUACCCAGUAAUGGGGGAUAACUAACCGAAAGGUUAGCUAAUACCGCAUACGCCCUGAGGGGGAAAGCGGGGGAUCGAAAGACCUCGCGUUAUUGGAGCGGCCGAUAUCUGAUUAGCUAGUUGGUGAGGUAAAGGCUCACCAAGGCGACGAUCAGUAGCUGGUCUGAGAGGAUGAUCAGCCACACUGGAACUGAGACACGGUCCAGACUCCUACGGGAGGCAGCAGUGGGGAAUUUUGGACAAUGGGGGAAACCCUGAUCCAGCCAUUCCGCGUGAGUGAAGAAGGCCUUCGGGUUGUAAAGCUCUUUCGGCAGGGAAGAAACGCUCUGGAUUAAUACUCUGGGGUAAUGACGGUACCUGAAGAAGAAGCACCGGCUAACUACGUGCCAGCAGCC
RNAcentral lists this ribosomal RNA (515 nucleotides) under uncultured bacterium. RNAcentral describes it as "bacterial SSU rRNA". It matches the Rfam family "Bacterial small subunit ribosomal RNA", at positions 8 to 516 of the family's 1533-position model. The record is from RNAcentral.